AGUGGCGGACGGGUGAGUAACGCGUGAGAAUCUGCCUUGGGGUCGGGGACAACCACUGGAAACGGUGGCUAAUACCGGAUAAGCCGAUUGGUGAAAGAUUUAUUGCCCGAAGAGGAGCUCGCGUCUGAUUAGCUAGUUGGUGAGGUAAGAGCUCACCAAGGCAGCGAUCAGUAGCUGGUCUGAGAGGACGAUCAGCCACACUGGGACUGAGACACGGCCCAGACUCCUACGGGAGGCAGCAGUGGGGAAUUUUCCGCAAUGGGCGAAAGCCUGACGGAGCAAGACCGCGUGAGGGAGGAAGGCUCUUGGGUUGUAAACCUCUUUUCUCAGGGAAGAAGCUCUGACGGUACCUGAGGAAUCAGCCUCGGCUAACUCCGUGCCAGCAGUCGCGGUAAUACGGAGGAGGCAAGCGUUAUCCGGAAUUAUUGGGCGUAAAGCGUCCGCAGGUGGCGAUUCAAGUCUGCUGUCAAAGCACGGGGCUUAACUCCGUAAAGGCAGUGGAAACUGAAUAGCUUGAGUGCCGUAGGGGUAGAGGGAAUUCCCGGUGUAGCGGUGAAAUGCGUAGAGAUCGGGAAGAACAUCGGUGGCGAAAGCGCUCUACUGGACGGCAACCGACACUCAGGGACGAAAGCUAGGGGAGCGAAUGGGAUUAGAUACCCC
This 660-nucleotide ribosomal RNA is filed under the name uncultured bacterium. RNAcentral describes it as "bacterial SSU rRNA". It matches the Rfam family "Bacterial small subunit ribosomal RNA", at positions 94 to 788 of the family's 1533-position model. The record is from RNAcentral.